GAUGAACGCUGGCGGCGUGCUUAACACAUGCAAGUCGAACGGAGAUAUCAUUUUCGAAGCGAUUAGUUUACUAAGAGCGGAGAUGUUGCUAUCUUAGUGGCGGACGGGUGAGUAACGCGUGGGUAACCUGCCUUGCACUGGGGGAUAACACUUAGAAAUAGGUGCUAAUACCGCAUAACAGUAGGAGACGCAUGUCUUUUACUUGAAAAUUCCGGUGGUGUAAGAUGGACCCGCGUCUGAGUAGCUUGUUGGCGGGGUAACGGCCCACCAAGGCGACGAUCAGUAGCCGGCCUGAGAGGGUGAACGGCCACAUUGGGACUGAGACACGGCCCAA
This 334-nucleotide ribosomal RNA is filed under the name uncultured bacterium. RNAcentral describes it as "bacterial SSU rRNA". It matches the Rfam family "Bacterial small subunit ribosomal RNA", at positions 28 to 334 of the family's 1533-position model. The record is from RNAcentral.